UAGCAUUUUUCCAGUGUGUGAAAAUCUCUGGCCUCAAAGCACACUUGUGGGAACCCAUAAUUGAGUCUGAGAUCAUCCAACAGCAGCAGAAAGCUCUUACAGCCCCGAGAGCCUCAGGGAGCCAGGAAGCUUACAGAACCUUGCUGAAAAACACGGGAUCUAUAGCUAAAUCCAGAAAGCCCCCGGAGACCAUUUGGACCAACCCCUCCCACAGAAGAUACAGAAUGCCAAAUAUUCCAAUGUAAGGAUGGUCCUGAGAAAAAAGAUCCUUGGAAGUCUUUAGAGUGGUAAUCAUAUGCCAAUGUCCCUGCUGAGAGAUGGUAUAACCUCAUGUUGAACAGCUGCUGUUAGAGUGGUUAAAGCCCUGACCCCUGCCAUUCACUAUGGGAGAAGACAGCAACAGCUUUUCUGCCCCACUGGUGUUCUCUAGGGCUUUCUGACCCAGGUCCUCAUCAGCGCAGUCCCUAGCGUUGAGCCCAGCAACCCUAGGAUCAAGGCCUUGAAAGACAAGGUUUUGGGAUCUCCCAAAGGUAAUUGGGAUGUUUGGCAUUGUUUGCAUAUUAGUCUAGAAAACCUCACAUACAUCACUUGCUCCAGCACAGAUUACACUUCUUAAAAAAGACCCGAAAAGAACAUCAGGAUAUUAAAACACAAAACGCAACACAACUGUAUGUGAAUUUCUGUGCUCAAGAGAACAUAGUGAAAAUUAAUGUUGUGAUCUUUCUGAGCACAUAUCUUUUGCCAACAAUGUUUCUUCAACCACUGUUAACUAAAUCCAAGGACCUAUUACAUCGCAAAUGGAAGAUUAAAGAGAGUUUUUUUCUAA
Molecule: long non-coding RNA, 826 nt
Filed under: Homo sapiens (human)
Lineage: Eukaryota; Metazoa; Chordata; Mammalia; Primates; Hominidae
Description: HSALNT0300819
Source: RNAcentral